GAGUGGGCGAUACUUGAAUACGCUUUCCCCAUCAGAUAUUCAGAUAUUAGUGAUAAAGCGAGAAAGCGGUGAAAUGAGGAGAGAGGUCACCUGUCCUGCAUAUGGAUCACAUCACAAUUCAGCGGAGAGGACAAGAGCCUCAACCACAGCGCUACCUUGCAGAUACUAAUUUAUUCACAUGCCCCUUCUGCACAUCUCAAAUAUGUAAACCCAGACAAUAUCAUCAAAUAGUGGCCCAUAUAGCUGGGCAUAAAAUAAGAGCAACUGAAUAUGGAGAUUAUGUUAUAUACAGCUGUGACCUUGGCUGUGGCCAAAAGGCCAAGCAUUUUCACUGCUGUCAUUGUCCACAGACCUACAUAAAUAAAGCUGCUAUAAAAAGGCAUCUUUGCAGUUUCCACCCGCUGCCCCCAGCAGGACCUGAUACACCACAACAAACUCCUUCGGUGCCCCCAGCAGGACCUGAUACACCACAACAAAC
This is a long non-coding RNA of Rhinichthys klamathensis goyatoka, 478 nucleotides long. RefSeq lists it as uncharacterized. NCBI's taxonomy places the organism in Eukaryota, Metazoa, Chordata, Actinopteri, Cypriniformes, Leuciscidae. The record is from RefSeq and is a predicted model, not a curated record. The transcript is spliced from 3 exons.